RNAcentral lists this transfer-messenger RNA (347 nucleotides) under Deferribacterales bacterium. It matches the Rfam family "transfer-messenger RNA". From Rfam's summary of the family: Bacterial tmRNA, also known as 10Sa RNA or SsrA, is named for its dual tRNA and mRNA-like properties. Its role is to liberate the mRNA from a stalled ribosome. To accomplish this part of the tmRNA is used as a reading frame that ends in a translation stop signal. Lineage: Bacteria; Pseudomonadati; Deferribacterota; Deferribacteres; Deferribacterales. The record is from RNAcentral.
GGGGGCGCCAAGGUUUCGACGGGGAGCUGUAGGCUCUAAGGUGCAUGCCGAGGUUCGGUACCUCGUAAAACAGCCGAACAAUAAUAAUUGCAAACGACGAAUUAGCACUCGCUGCUUAAUUGACGGCGACGUCCCUGUAGGGUUUGCCUACGAUCUUGCAGAGGGCGACAACUUAGUAGGCUGGCCGGAUGUGACGCCUUUAAGCAUUCGGUGAGACUUAAAAGGCUCACCAAGCCCUAAGCCGGCCUGCGGGCAUUGGGUUUGGGAAAUUUAAUCGCAGGAUAAGCAUGUAGUACCUGGGGAAGAAGGCUUUUCGGACGCGGGUUCGAUUCCCGCCGCCUCCAUUU